Molecule: long non-coding RNA, 1325 nt
Organism: Homo sapiens (human)
Lineage: Eukaryota; Metazoa; Chordata; Mammalia; Primates; Hominidae
Exons: 3
Source: RefSeq, a predicted model, not a curated record
UCAAGGUGGUGGUGGCCACGAAGCAGAACACAGACACGAACAUCACCCAGCCCUGGACCAGGGGCCAGGGCACCAGGGAGGAGGCCACCAGGAUCCACACCAGGCCCCCGAAGAUCUGCGGGGGAGGAGGAGGGGUGAGUUUUGGCCUAGAGGAGAGCCCCAGCCCAGGAAGGGCCCCCGACCAGCGGUCACAUGGGGUGACUGGAGUGCAAAAACACAGGAAGCAGGCAAAGAGAACAGGGCAGGCAUUUUCCUCUGCAAAAAUGCAUCUUUAGUCCCCCCAGGGCCCUGUGCUGGAUCUCAAUCCCAAUCCCCGGCACGCUUGCCCUGAUUAACUUUUUAAAACUUUUUUUUCUUGAGACAGAGUCUUGCUCUGUCACCCAGGCGUGAGUACAGUGGCGUGUGGCUCACUGCAACCUCUGCCUCCUGGGUUCAAGUGAUUCUCAUGCCUCAGCUUCCUGAGUAGCUGGGAUUACAGGUGCAUGCCACCAUGCCCAGCUAAUUUUUCUAUUUUUGGUAGAGACGGGGUUUCACCAUGUUGGCCAGGCUGGUCUUGAACUCCUGACCUCAGGUGAUCUGCCCUCCUCAGCCUCCCAAAGGGUUGGGAUUACAGGCGUGAGCCACUGCACCUGGCCUGAGUAACUUUUUAAAUAUGGGUUUAAUUUUUUUAUUUAACAAACACUUAUAUCAGACCUACAUUCCAGGCACUAUCCUAAGCACUUUACAAAUAAUAACUCAGUGAUUCUCACAGUAACCCUCUGAGCAAUGCUGACCUGUUUGCCAGAUGAGGAAACUGAGUCCAGGAAGUGUUCUGAUGAUCAGAUUUGGAGUUGGAAUGGAGUAACCAAGGACAGCCUUGUCUCUUUGGAUGGCUGAGGAUGGGCAUGAGGAAAGUACAGUCCCGUGGUUAUCCAGAAUACACCCCAGUUGAUGUCGCCAGGGUCAGUGAGCCCCAUACAGUCAAAGAGGAGCAGACAUGGGGGCCAGUAGCACCCCUCAGUAGCCCAGCCCCGCUCCUCGCCGUGGAUGGACACAUACAAACCCGCUCCCCACCGCGGAUGGGUGUUCUCUGAGCUGCUUGACUGAGAAGCAAUCAGGAGAGAAUUGCAUUUGGGUAGAAAAAUCAGUGCAAUGAAGACUUUGGAUUUAUUAAAACCAAGUUGUCCCUAAGGAAUCAGAUGUGGGCAUCUCUGACCAGAAAGCGUCCUCUGCUGAUGGAUCUUAGGUUGCCUGAAGGCACGUGGCAGGGCCGGUGGGAUGCACUGUGCAUCUUACAAAAAUGGGAGCAAAAUCAAUUAAAUAAAAAUGCCCAGACCACCAUGGAA